RNAcentral lists this ribosomal RNA (504 nucleotides) under uncultured bacterium. RNAcentral's name for it is "bacterial SSU rRNA". It matches the Rfam family "Bacterial small subunit ribosomal RNA", at positions 35 to 524 of the family's 1533-position model. The record is from RNAcentral.
GCUGGCGGCAUGCCUAUCAUGCAAGUCGAGCGGAAUGACGAGAGCUUGCUCUCUGAUUUUAGCGGCGGACGGGUGAGUAACACGUGGGCAACCUGCCCUACAGAUGGGGAUAACUCCGGGAAACCGGGGCUAAUACCGAAUAAUCAGUCUGUCCGCAUGGACAAACUCUGAAAGACGGUUUCGGCUGUCACUGUAGGAUGGGCCCGCGGCGCAUUAGCUAGUUGGUGGGGUAAUGGCCUACCAAGGCAACGAUGCGUAGCCGACCUGAGAGGGUGAUCGGCCACACUGGGACUGAGACACGGCCCAGACUCCUACGGGAGGCAGCAGUAGGGAAUCUUCCACAAUGGACGAAAGUCUGAUGGAGCAAUGCCGCGUGAGCGAAGAAGGUUUUCGGAUCGUAAAGCUCUGUUGUAAGGGAAGAACACGUACGGGAGUAACUGCCCGUGCCAUGACGGUACCUUAUUAGAAAGCCACGGCUAACUACGUGCCAGCAGCCGCGGUAAU